CCUACGGGAGGCAGCAGUGAGGAAUCUUGGUCAAUGGGCGAGAUCCUGCACCAGCCAAGUCGCGUGAGGGAGUACUGCCCUAUGGGUUGUAAACCUCUUUUUUCGGGGAGCACAAGCCGGACGUGUCCGGCUGUGAGAGUACCCUAAGAAAAAGCAUCGGCUAACUCCGUGCCAGCAGCCGCGGUAAUACGGGGGAUGCGAGCGUUAUCCGGAUUUAUUUGGUUUAAAGGGAGCGCAGGCGGAUUUUUAAGUCAGCGGUCAAAUCGGGUGGAUCAACACCAUCCAGCCGUUGAAACUGGGGAUCUAGAGUGUGCGAGAGGUAUGGGGAAUGCGUGGUGUAGCGGUGAAAUGCAUAG
RNAcentral lists this ribosomal RNA (356 nucleotides) under uncultured bacterium. RNAcentral describes it as "partial 16S ribosomal RNA". It matches the Rfam family "Bacterial small subunit ribosomal RNA", at positions 338 to 693 of the family's 1533-position model. The record is from RNAcentral.